UUGCUUUGGCAGCACAAAUACUGAAAUUGGAAUGAUACAGAGAGGGUUAGCAGGCCCCUGCGCAAGGAUGACACGCAAACCCGUGAGGCAUCCCAUAUUUUU
Small nuclear RNA from Octodon degus (degu), 102 nucleotides. Lineage: Eukaryota; Metazoa; Chordata; Mammalia; Rodentia; Octodontidae. The record is from Ensembl.